RNAcentral lists this transfer RNA (71 nucleotides) under Cyclobacteriaceae bacterium. RNAcentral describes it as "tRNA-Gln". It matches the Rfam family "tRNA". From Rfam's summary of the family: Transfer RNA (tRNA) molecules are approximately 80 nucleotides in length. Their secondary structure includes four short double-helical elements and three loops (D, anti-codon, and T loops). Lineage: Bacteria; Pseudomonadati; Bacteroidota; Cytophagia; Cytophagales; Cyclobacteriaceae. The record is from RNAcentral.
UGGUCUAUGGUGUAAAGGCAGCACAGUUGACUUUGACUCAGCUGGUUCAGGUUCGAAUCCUGAUAGACCAU